This 235-nucleotide ribosomal RNA is filed under the name uncultured bacterium. RNAcentral describes it as "partial 16S ribosomal RNA". It matches the Rfam family "Bacterial small subunit ribosomal RNA", at positions 99 to 334 of the family's 1533-position model. The record is from RNAcentral.
CGGACGGGUGAGUAAUGCGUAGGGAUUUGUCGUUGGGUGGGGGAGUAAACCUUGGGAAACUGGGGCUAAUACCGCAUGACGCCUUUGGGCCAAAGUUUCGGGUGUGAGCCCGGUGGCGCCUGACGAGAAGCCUGCGUCCGAUUAGCUAGUUGGUUGGGUAGUGGCUGACCAAGGCAUCGAUCGGUAGCUGGUCUGAGAGGAUGAUCAGCCACACUGGGACUGAGACACGGCCCAG